GACAGAGGGUGCAAACGUUGCUCGGAAUUACUGGGCGUAAAGGGCGCGUAGGCGGCCGGCUAAGUCGAACGUGAAAUCCCCGGGCUCAACCCGGGAACUGCGUCCGAUACUGGUCGGCUUGAAUUCGGGAGAGGGAUGCGGAAUUCCAGGUGUAGCGGUGAAAUGCGUAGAUAUCUGGAGGAACACCGGUGGCGAAGGCGGCAUCCUGGACCGACAUUGACGCUGAGGCGCGAAAGCCAGGGGAGCAAACGGG
RNAcentral lists this ribosomal RNA (253 nucleotides) under uncultured bacterium. RNAcentral's name for it is "partial 16S ribosomal RNA". It matches the Rfam family "Bacterial small subunit ribosomal RNA", at positions 524 to 776 of the family's 1533-position model. The record is from RNAcentral.